UUACAACAGCACAGGACAACAGUCAGCG
RNAcentral lists this small RNA (28 nucleotides) under Bombyx mori (domestic silkworm). RNAcentral's name for it is "ovarian small RNA-36412". The record is from RNAcentral. Lineage: Eukaryota; Metazoa; Arthropoda; Insecta; Lepidoptera; Bombycidae.